GUAGGUGGCAAGCGUUGUCCGGAAUUAUUGGGCGAAAAGCGCGCGCAGGCGGUUCUUUAAGUCUGAUGUGAAAGCCCACGGCUCAACCGUGGAGGGUCAUUGGAAACUGGAGAACUUGAGUACAGAAGAGGAAAGCGGAAUUCCACGUGUAGCGGUGAAAUGCGUAGAGAUGUGGAGGAACACCAGUGGCGAAGGCGGCUUUCUGGUCUGUAACUGACGCUGAGGCGCGAAAGCGUGGGGAGCAAACAGGGAUUAGAUACCCUGGUAGUCCACGCCGUAAACGAUGAGUGCUAAGUGUUAGGGGGGUUUCCGCCCCCCUUAGUGCUGCAGCUAACGCAUUAAGCACUCCGCCUGGGGAGUACGGCCGCAAGGCUG
Molecule: ribosomal RNA, 375 nt
Filed under: uncultured organism
Description: partial 16S ribosomal RNA
Rfam family: Bacterial small subunit ribosomal RNA
Source: RNAcentral